Sarcophilus harrisii (Tasmanian devil) is the source of this 1563-nucleotide long non-coding RNA. The record is from Ensembl. NCBI's taxonomy places the organism in Eukaryota, Metazoa, Chordata, Mammalia, Dasyuromorphia, Dasyuridae.
AUCAGGCAGGAGUCCACGUCCCUUCUUCCCCUUGACGGGGUCCCCCCUUCCUCCAUCCUCCCGGCUGGGGUCCCCUGUAGCUGCGGGCUUGGUAGAGCCUCGCUCCCUCUCACCCUGUGUGAUGGGCUCGGGGGUCACCAUGGCUGGGCCGGGGGCGCGGAAGGCAGAGGCAGCAGCUGCAGAGGGAGCCCAGAUCUGACUGGGGGAGGGGGGUCAGACCGGGAAGGGGGGGGACUGGAGAGGGACCUCCGGGUUGGGGGCGGUGGAAAGGGCGGAGGCGGACACUGCAGCCAAUGGGGGCUCCGUGGGGGGGGGGGGGGGGGGGGGGGCGCAUGCCCAAUCCCCGCCUCGAGUGUCUGCGGAGCCCGUGGGCGGGGGCGCCUCCUAGUGGGGGGAGAGAGGGAGCGUCAGCCUUUCGGGGCCUCGGGCGGCCGGACCGGCUGUGGGACAGAGACACGGACUGCGCGCGGAAGAAGACUGGCCUUUAUUACAGUGACCACACCCCCUUCUCUAAGUGGGGCUACUCAGGAAGGGGCUCCGAAAUCAGACUCACGGCGGAUGGAACUGCGGAAAGUGCCCUCUUCUUCAUCGGGCUCCCCGGUUCUGAGAAGUGCGAGAAAGGCAAGGGAGGGUCCUGUUAGGCCAAUGGAUGAAGGGGGAUGGGGGGGGGAGAGGAGAGAGAGAGAGAGACAGAGACAGAGACAGAGACAGAGAGAAGAGAGAGACUGAGAGACAGAGAGAGAGGAGAGAGAAAGACAGAGAGACAGAGACACAGAAAGACAGAGAGAGACACAGAGAGACAGAGACAGAGAGAGAGAAGGAAGAGGAGGAGGUGAGAACAGAAAGGGGAGAGAGAAGAAAGAGAAUUAGAAAAAACAGAAUUUGAGAUAGAGCAAGAUAGAAAUGAAGAGACAGGAACACACAGAUUGUGCAUGUGUGUGUCUGUGUGUGUGUGUGUCCAGAGUGGAUUAAGAUAAAAAAGAUACAGUCAGAGAUAGAGAUGAAAAUAGAAUCUGAGAUGGUGCAAGACAGAAAUAGAGAGAGAGAAAGGCAAAAGUAGAGAGAUGAAACUACAAUCACAAUACAGAGAAGAGGUGAGAAAUGAAGAUGGAGUCAGAAGCAGAGCUGGAGAGGGAAGGGAUGACAAAGUAAAAAAACCAAUCAGCUACAUCCCAAGUUCAUAGUCUCACAUACAAUCUUCCUUUCCCCUUUUCCUUUCCACUGAAAUGUCAUGUGUGUUGCGUUCAUAACAAAAAAAGAAACAGAAACUGAAUGUUAAAAAUGAAAGUUGUGUCAAAACCAGACGUGGAGAAAGAUUUGGAAAGACAAAAACAAUCCUGGGAGAGAGGGAGAGGUUAAAAGAGGGGAGAGAGAAGUGAAGGUGGAGAAUGGAGUGCAAGGGAACACAGAGAGAUAGUCAGAGAUACAGAGACAGAGAAAAAGAGAUGAUUCCAAGAUAUGCAAGGAGAAGAACAAAAGUAGAAAAGUAAGAUAGACUCGAGGAAGGUUGAGAGAUAGAUGAAGAAACAAAGAAGAUAAAACUCAUGAAAACAAAAAACAGAA